UACGAACCGUCCAAACGUUACUCGGAAUCACUGGGCUUAAAGGGUGCGUAGGCGGCGCGGUAAGUCGGGUGUGAAAUCUCGGGGCUUAACUCCGAAACUGCAUUCGAUACUGCCGUGCUUGAGGACUGGAGAGGAGACUGGAAUUUACGGUGUAGCGGUGAAAUGCGUAGAUAUCGUAAGGAAGACCAGUGGCGAAGGCGGGUCUCUGGACAGUUCCUGACGCUGAGGCACGAAGGCCAGGGGAGCAAACGGG
RNAcentral lists this ribosomal RNA (253 nucleotides) under uncultured bacterium. RNAcentral's name for it is "partial 16S ribosomal RNA". It matches the Rfam family "Bacterial small subunit ribosomal RNA", at positions 524 to 776 of the family's 1533-position model. The record is from RNAcentral.